Molecule: ribosomal RNA, 510 nt
Filed under: uncultured bacterium
Lineage: Bacteria
Description: bacterial SSU rRNA
Rfam family: Bacterial small subunit ribosomal RNA
Source: RNAcentral
GGCUCAGGAUGAACGCUAGCUACAGGCUUAACACAUGCAAGUCGAGGGGCAUCACGUGAGGCAGCAAUGCAUCUGGGUGGCGACCGGCGAAUGGGUGAGUAACGAGUAUCCAACCUGGCCCAUACUCGGGCACAGCCCCGCGAAAGCGGGAUUAAUGCCCGAUGCGGCGUAUCUCCCGCAUGGGAAUUACGUCAAAGGUAUAAACUGGUAUGGGAUGGGGAUGCGUCCGAUUAGCUAGACGGCGGGGUAACGGCCCACCGUGGCGAUGAUCGGUAGGGGUUCUGAGAGGAAGGUCCCCCACAUUGGAACUGAGACACGGUCCAAACUCCUACGGGAGGCAGCAGUGAGGAAUAUUGGUCAAUGGCCGUAAGGCUGAACCAGCCAAGUAGCGUGAGGGAUGACCGCCCUAUGGGUCGUAAACCUCCUUUGCACGGGAAUAACCGCACCCACGUGUGGGUGCCUGCAUGUACCGUGCGAAUAAGCAUCGGCUAACUCCGUGCCAGCAGCCGC